Molecule: transfer RNA, 72 nt
Filed under: Caudoviricetes sp.
Lineage: Duplodnaviria; Heunggongvirae; Uroviricota; Caudoviricetes
Description: tRNA-Met
Source: RNAcentral
AGCGGGACAAAGCGAUGGGCGCUUACUGCUUUCAUAAGGCAGGUGGUGAGGGUUCGACUCCCUCCCCCGUAA